RNAcentral lists this long non-coding RNA (347 nucleotides) under Coturnix japonica (Japanese quail). RNAcentral's name for it is "lncRNA (ENSCJPG00005000748.1)". Lineage: Eukaryota; Metazoa; Chordata; Aves; Galliformes; Phasianidae. The record is from RNAcentral.
CUGAUAUCUAUUCUAUUCUUAGUAUGUGAAGCCUGUGAUAUAUGGACAAGGCCAUCUAAUUCCACUAUCUCCAGUUCAAUGAUGUUUUGAUCAGUAAAAUACCACAUUCUCCUGCUGCUGCCUCUAUGCACGUGUAUUGGAAUCUGAGGUCUAAAAAUUAGAGAAGGUGAACAAGAACACACACUAUGACCUACUUACCUCGUUCCUCAGGCUGAGUUUUCUCAAAGUGUUUAAGUGGAAGAUCUUGGGAUAAAGGAAGCAUCUUGGCAGCUGAGGCUAUUGCUGCUGAACCCCUUUGAAAAAACACAGAAAACAUGGAAUCUUUUUAAAAAUAUUAUGAAUAAGGU